This 83-nucleotide transfer RNA is filed under the name Dactylosporangium vinaceum subsp. matsuzakiense. RNAcentral describes it as "Dactylosporangium matsuzakiense tRNA-His". Lineage: Bacteria; Bacillati; Actinomycetota; Actinomycetes; Micromonosporales; Micromonosporaceae. The record is from RNAcentral.
GAUGGCGCUGGCCGAGCAGGCCGCGGCGCUCGGCUGUGAACUGUUCGUGAUGGACGACGGCUGGUUCGGCCGGCGCGUCUCCG